CAGUCGCCACGGUAAUACGUAGGUGGCAAGCGUUGUCCGGAAUUAUUGGGCGUAAAGGGCUCGCAGGCGGUUUCUUAAGUCUGAUGUGAAAGCCCCCGGCUCAACCGGGGAGGGUCAUUGGAAACUGGGAAACUUGAGUGCAGAAGAGGAGAGUGGAAUUCCACGUGUAGCGGUGAAAUGCGUAGAGAUGUGGAGGAACACCAGUGGCGAAGGCGACUCUCUGGUCUGUAACUGACGCUGAGGAGCGAAAGCGUGGGGAGCGAACAGGAUUAGAGACCCGUGUAGUCCCUGUCUCUUAUAC
RNAcentral lists this ribosomal RNA (301 nucleotides) under uncultured bacterium. RNAcentral describes it as "partial 16S ribosomal RNA". It matches the Rfam family "Bacterial small subunit ribosomal RNA", at positions 509 to 807 of the family's 1533-position model. The record is from RNAcentral.